GGUGGCGUGCUGCUCAGCCCCAUGCUGCUGUACGCGCUGCUGGCGCUGCUGCUGACCGGCGUGCUGCGCCUGGGCCUGCAGCGCGCCGGCCUGGCGCGCUGGAUCUGGCACGAAGCGCUGUUCGAUUGUGCCCUG
This 135-nucleotide small RNA is filed under the name Aquipseudomonas alcaligenes. RNAcentral's name for it is "Pseudomonas alcaligenes Pseudomonas sRNA P18". It matches the Rfam family "Pseudomonas sRNA P18". The record is from RNAcentral. Lineage: Bacteria; Pseudomonadati; Pseudomonadota; Gammaproteobacteria; Pseudomonadales; Pseudomonadaceae.